Molecule: ribosomal RNA, 883 nt
Filed under: uncultured bacterium
Lineage: Bacteria
Description: bacterial SSU rRNA
Rfam family: Bacterial small subunit ribosomal RNA
Source: RNAcentral
AGAUUGAACGCUGGCGGCAGGCCUAACACAUGCAAGUCGAGCGGAAACAGAGAGUAACUUGUUACUUUGCUGUCGAGCGGCGGACGGGUGAGUAAUGCUUGGGAAACUGCCCAGUCGAGGGGGACAACCAUUGGAAACGAUGGCUAAUACCGCAUACGCCCUACGGGGGAAAGAAGGGGACUCUUCGGAGCCUUUCGCGAUUGGAUGUGCCCAAGUGGGAUUAGCUAGUUGGUGAGGUAAAGGCUCACCAAGGCGACGAUCCCUAGCUGGUUUGAGAGGAUGAUCAGCCACACUGGAACUGAGACACGGUCCAGACUCCUACGGGAGGCAGCAGUGGGGAAUAUUGCACAAUGGGCGCAAGCCUGAUGCAGCCAUGCCGCGUGUAUGAAGAAGGCCUUCGGGUUGUAAAGUACUUUCAGCGAGGAGGAAAGGGUAUAGCUUAAUACGCUAUAUCUGUGACGUUACUCGCAGAAGAAGGACCGGCUAACUCCGUGCCAGCAGCCGCGGUAAUACGGAGGGUCCGAGCGUUAAUCGGAAUUACUGGGCGUAAAGCGUACGCAGGCGGUUUGUUAAGCGAGAUGUGAAAGCCCCGGGCUCAACCUGGGAACUGCAUUUCGAACUGACAAACUAGAGUUUUGUAGAGGGUGGUAGAAUUUCAGGUGUAGCGGUGAAAUGCGUAGAGAUCUGAAGGAAUACCAGUGGCGAAGGCGGCCACCUGGACAAUAACUGACGCUCAUGUACGAAAGCGUGGGGAGCAAACGGGAUUAGAUACCCCGGUAGUCCACGCCGUAAACGAUGUCAACUAGCCGACUGAAUCCUUGAGAUUUGGGUGGCGCAGCUAACGCAUUAAGUUGACCGCCUGGGGAGUACGGCCGCAAGGUUA